CCUACGGGGGCAGCAGUGGGGAAUAUUGGACAAUGGGCGAAAGCCUGAUCCAGCCAUGCCGCGUGUGUGAAGAAGGCCUUCGGGUUGUAAAGCACUUUCAGUGGGGAAGAAAGCCUUGGGGCUAAUACCCUCGAGGAAGGACAUCACCCACAGAAGAAGCACCGGCUAACUCCGUGCCAGCAGCCGCGGUAAUACGGAGGGUGCGAGCGUUAAUCGGAAUUACUGGGCGUAAAGCGCGCGUAGGCGGUCUGAUAAGCCGGUUGUGAAAGCCCCGGGCUCAACCUGGGAACGGCAUCCGGAACUGUCAGGCUAGAGUGCAGGAGAGGAAGGUAGAAUUCCCGGUGUAGCGGUGAAAUGCGUAGAGAUCGGGAGGAAUACCAGUGGCGAAGGCGGCCUUCUGGACUGACACUGACGCCGAGGUGCGAAAGCGUGGGUAGCAAACAGGAUUAGAUACCCUUGUAGUC
RNAcentral lists this ribosomal RNA (464 nucleotides) under Vreelandella stevensii. RNAcentral's name for it is "partial 16S ribosomal RNA". It matches the Rfam family "Bacterial small subunit ribosomal RNA", at positions 338 to 795 of the family's 1533-position model. The record is from RNAcentral. Lineage: Bacteria; Pseudomonadati; Pseudomonadota; Gammaproteobacteria; Oceanospirillales; Halomonadaceae.